RNAcentral lists this ribosomal RNA (133 nucleotides) under Drosophila simulans. RNAcentral's name for it is "5.8S ribosomal RNA". It matches the Rfam family "5.8S ribosomal RNA". From Rfam's summary of the family: 5.8S ribosomal RNA (5.8S rRNA) is a component of the large subunit of the eukaryotic ribosome. It is transcribed by RNA polymerase I as part of the 45S precursor that also contains 18S and 28S rRNA. The record is from RNAcentral. Lineage: Eukaryota; Metazoa; Arthropoda; Insecta; Diptera; Drosophilidae.
AACUCUAAGCGGUGGAUCACUCCGCUCAGGGUCGAUGAAGAACGCAACAAACUGUGCGUCAUCGUGUGAACUGCAGGACACAUGAACAUCACAUUUUGAACGCAUAUCCCAGUCCAGGCCGGUAUGGACAUUA